CCCUGCCUCCAUGCCCCAACACUCUUAUCCACUGUGCCACCUAAUUGCCUACAUAUACAUAUACACACAUACAUCUUUGUGUGUGUGUAUGUGUGUGUGUCAUGUGCUGAGAUCCUCUGCCCUCAUUUUUUCCAUUCUUCUCUGUCUUUUAUAGGCUGGUUCGUUGAGCCAAAUCUGCACUUUCAUGAUGACAGAUGGACAAAGGGAAACGCAGACAAGACAGUAUUAAUGCUACAACUCCUUCUCAGACUUGAAAGGAAGAAGAGCUCCAGUCAACAGCAUGAUUCAUCUCUUCAUUCUACAGCACCGAACAUUCUUGGGAGAUCUCCCACAUAAGCCGUGGUGUGAUCCAAUCUUGUAGCGUCAAACGAUUUCCAAGUCCAAAAUGAUGUAAACACACAUUCAGAGCAAAAGUAGACAUGCGGAGACAUAAAUAAAGGGAAGAAGGAAGGCUCUGAGACCA
This 463-nucleotide long non-coding RNA is filed under the name Monodelphis domestica (gray short-tailed opossum). Its description in RNAcentral is "lncRNA (ENSMODG00000043118.1)". Lineage: Eukaryota; Metazoa; Chordata; Mammalia; Didelphimorphia; Didelphidae. The record is from RNAcentral.